Molecule: ribosomal RNA, 497 nt
Filed under: uncultured bacterium
Lineage: Bacteria
Description: partial 16S ribosomal RNA
Rfam family: Bacterial small subunit ribosomal RNA
Source: RNAcentral
GAUGAACGCUGGCGGCGUGCCUAAUACAUGCAAGUCGAGCGAACAGACCAGGAGCUUGCUCCUCUGACGUUAUCGGCGGACGGGAGAGUCACACGUGGAUGACAUACCUAUUAGACUCGGCUAACAUCAGGAAACCAGAACUAAAACCGGAAGAUUUAUUGAACAAGAAUGAUCCAUAGUGAAAUACGCUAUUUCUGUAACUAAUAGCUGGCUACGCGCCUCAUCAGCUAGUUGGUAAGGUAACGGCUUAGCAAGGCAACGAUGGGUAGCCGACCUGAGAGGGUGAACGGCCACACUGGAACUGAGACACAGCCCAGACUCCUACAGGAGGCAGCGGUAGAGAAUCUUCCGCGAUGGGCGAAAGCCUGACGGAGCAACGCCGCGUGAGUGAUGAUGGUCUUCGGAUCGUAAAACUCUGUUAGUAGGGAAGAACAAAUGUGUAAGUAACUAUGCUCGUCUUGACGGUACCUAAUCAGAAAGCCACGGCUAACUACGUG